RNAcentral lists this ribosomal RNA (523 nucleotides) under uncultured bacterium. RNAcentral describes it as "partial 16S ribosomal RNA". It matches the Rfam family "Bacterial small subunit ribosomal RNA", at positions 30 to 523 of the family's 1533-position model. The record is from RNAcentral.
AUUGAACGCUGGCGGCAUGCCUAAUACAUGCAAGUCGAACGCUUUUUCUUUCACCGGAGCUUGCUCCACCGAAAGAAAAAGAGUGGCGAACAGGUGAGUAACACGUGGGUAACCUGCCCAUCAGAAGGGGAUAACACUUGGGAACAGGUGCUAAUACCGUAUAACACUAUUUUCCGCAUGGAAGAAAGUUGAAAGGCGCUUUUGUGUCACUGAUGGAUGGACCCGGGGUGCAUUAGCUAGUUGGUGAGGUAACGGCUCACCAAGGCAACGAUGCAUAGCCGACCUGAGAGGGUGAUCGGCCACACUGGGACUGAGACACGGCCCAGACUCCUACGGGAGGCAGCAGUAGGGAAUCUUCGGCAAUGGACGAAAGUCUGACCGAGCAACGCCGCGUGAGUGAAGAAGGUUUUCGGAUCGUAAAACUCUGUUGUUAGAGAAGAACAAGGAUGAGAGUAAAACGUUCAUCCCUUGACGGUAUCUAACCAGAAAGCCACGGCUAACUACGUGCCAGCCGCCGCGGUAA